AAAAACAUAGCCUUUAGCAAUAAAAGUAUUAAAGGUGAUGCCUGCCCAGUGAAACAUUAAACGGCCGCGGGACCAUAUACCGUGCAAAGGUAGCAUAAUCACUUGUCCCCUAAAUAGCGACUAGUAUGAAUGGCCCAAUGAAGAUACCCCUGUCUCUUAUAAUUAAUCUGUGAAACUGAUCUUCUAGUCCAAAAGCUAGAAUACUUCCACAAGACGAAAAGACCCUGUGGAACUUCAAAUAUUCCUACCCCAUAGCCCACUUAUUUUUAGUUGGGGCAACUUUGGAAACAAACAAAACUUCCAACAACACACAAGGUGCACACACCUAAUAAACCCUUUAAGACCCAGUAAAACUGAUAAAAGAAAUAAGCUACCCCAGGGAUAACAGCGCCAUCCCCUCCUAGAGCCCCAAUCGACGAGGGGGUUUACGACCUCGAUGUUGGAUCAGGGCCCCCAAACAGUGCAGCAGCUGUUAAUGGUUUGUUUGUUCAACAAUUAAUGCCCUACGUGAUCUGAGUUAAGACCGGAGCAAUCCAGGUCG
RNAcentral lists this ribosomal RNA (541 nucleotides) under Alopoglossus atriventris (keel-bellied shade lizard). RNAcentral describes it as "partial large subunit ribosomal RNA". It matches the Rfam family "Bacterial large subunit ribosomal RNA", at positions 1809 to 2633 of the family's 2925-position model. The record is from RNAcentral. Lineage: Eukaryota; Metazoa; Chordata; Lepidosauria; Squamata; Alopoglossidae.